RNAcentral lists this transfer RNA (96 nucleotides) under Lentinula raphanica. Its description in RNAcentral is "tRNA-Gln". It matches the Rfam family "tRNA". From Rfam's summary of the family: Transfer RNA (tRNA) molecules are approximately 80 nucleotides in length. Their secondary structure includes four short double-helical elements and three loops (D, anti-codon, and T loops). The record is from RNAcentral. Lineage: Eukaryota; Fungi; Basidiomycota; Agaricomycetes; Agaricales; Omphalotaceae.
GGUCCAAUAGUGUAGAGGUUAUCACAUGGGAUUCUGAAGAGCUCGCCUUUGACAGUGGGAUUUCCCAUGACCCAGGUUCGAGUCCUGGUUGGACCU